ACGGAGGAUCCAAGCGUUAUCCGGAUUUAUUGGGUUUAAAGGGUGCGUAGGCGGUUUGGUAAGUUAGAGGUGAAAGCCCGGGGCUCAACAUCGGAACUGCCUCUGAUACUGCCUAGCUAGAGAGUAGAUGCUGUGGGCGGAAUGGAUGGUGUAGCGGUGAAAUGCUUAGAGAUCAUGCAGAACACCGAUUGCGAAGGCAGCUCACAAAUCUAUAUCUGACGCUGAGGCACGAAAGCGUGGGGAGCAAACAG
RNAcentral lists this ribosomal RNA (251 nucleotides) under uncultured bacterium. Its description in RNAcentral is "partial 16S ribosomal RNA". It matches the Rfam family "Bacterial small subunit ribosomal RNA", at positions 525 to 775 of the family's 1533-position model. The record is from RNAcentral.